This 434-nucleotide ribosomal RNA is filed under the name uncultured bacterium. RNAcentral's name for it is "bacterial SSU rRNA". It matches the Rfam family "Bacterial small subunit ribosomal RNA", at positions 917 to 1350 of the family's 1533-position model. The record is from RNAcentral.
GGGCCCGCACAAGCGGUGGAGCAUGUGGUUUAAUUCGAUGCAACGCGAAAAACCUUACCUACCUUUGACAUACCAAGAAUUCUGCAGAAGUGUAGAAGUGCCUUCGGGAGCUUGGAUACAGGUGCUGCAUGGCUGUCGUCAGCUCGUGUCGUGAGAUGUUGGGUUAAGUCCCGUAACGAGCGCAACCCUCAUUCUUAGUUGCCAGCGAGUAAAGUCGGGGACUCUAAGGAAACUGCCGGUGACAAACCGGAGGAAGGUGGGGAUGAUGUCAAGUCAUCAUGGCCCUUACAGGUAGGGCUACACACGUGCUACAAUGGGCAGUACAAAGGGUUGCGAAGCCGCGAGGUGGAGCUAAUCCCAUAAAGCUGUUCUCAGUCCGGAUUGGAGCCUGCAACUCGGCUCCAUGAAGUCGGAAUCGCUAGUAAUCGCGAAUC